CCUACGGGGGGCAGCAGUGGGGAAUAUUGCACAAUGGGGGAAACCCUGAUGCCGCGACGCCGCGUGAGUGAAGAAGUAUUUCGGUACGUAAAGCUCUAUCAGCAGGGAAGAAAAUGACGGUACCUGACUAAGAAGCCCCGGCUAACUACGGGCCAGCAGCCGCGGUAAUACGUAGGGGGCAAGCGUUAUCCGGAUUUACUGGGUGUAAAGGGAGCGUAGACGGCAGCGCAAGUCUGGAGUGAAAUCCCAUGGCUUAACCAUGGAACUGCUUUGGAAACUGUGCAGCUAGAGUGCAGGAGAGGUAAGCGGAAUUCCUAGUGUAGCGGUGAAAUGCGUAGAUAUUAGGAGGAACACCAGUGGCGAAGGCGGCUUACUGGACUGUAACUGACGUUGAGGCUCGAAAGCGUGGGGAGCAAACAGGAUUAGAUACCCCUGUAGUC
Molecule: ribosomal RNA, 440 nt
Filed under: uncultured bacterium
Lineage: Bacteria
Description: partial 16S ribosomal RNA
Rfam family: Bacterial small subunit ribosomal RNA
Source: RNAcentral